GGUGAUGAUGCUAUUGUAUGGCAAGGAGACUCUGGAGUAUGAAGACAUGGUCUCGAUGCUGUGCUCCAAUGAACAGUGAGAAAAGAUGACCAAGGAUGGAGCUCCCCAGGAGGGCUUGGUCAUGGGGGAGUAGUCAGGAAGAGAAAAAGAAAGGGGCAAGUCAAGGGGAUGAUCAAAGUUUCGAAAGAGCAGAAGCAAGAAAGAGGUUUGAUGCUACAAGUGCAAUGAGAUCGAACACUUCAAGCGAGAUUGUCCGCAGUGGAAAAGCAAGAAGGGAGACAAGGGAGGA
RNAcentral lists this long non-coding RNA (289 nucleotides) under Elaeis guineensis (African oil palm). Its description in RNAcentral is "long non-coding RNA (EGUI_LNC042099)". Lineage: Eukaryota; Viridiplantae; Streptophyta; Magnoliopsida; Arecales; Arecaceae. The record is from RNAcentral.